RNAcentral lists this ribosomal RNA (274 nucleotides) under uncultured bacterium. RNAcentral's name for it is "partial 16S ribosomal RNA". It matches the Rfam family "Bacterial small subunit ribosomal RNA", at positions 523 to 796 of the family's 1533-position model. The record is from RNAcentral.
AUACGGAGGGGGUUAGCGUUGUUCGGAACUACUGGGCGUAAAGCGUACGUAGGCGGACUGGAAAGUUGGGGGUGAAAUCCCGGGGCUCAACCCCGGAACUGCCUCCAAAACUUCCAAUCUAGAGAUCGAGAGAGGUGAGUGGAAUUCCAAGUGUAGAGGUGAAAUUCGUAGAUAUUUGGAGGAACACCAGUGGCGAAGGCGGCUCACUGGCUCGAUACUGACGCUGAGGUACGAAAGCGUGGGGAGCAAACAGGAUUAGAUACCCUAGUAGUCC